RNAcentral lists this unclassified non-coding RNA (181 nucleotides) under soil metagenome. RNAcentral describes it as "partial contains 5.8S ribosomal RNA, internal transcribed spacer 2, and large subunit ribosomal RNA". The record is from RNAcentral.
AACGCACGAGACCUGCGGACCUGCGGAAGGAUCAUUACCGAAAGGCCUCGUGCCUUUUACCUUCAAAACCGUGGAGCAGACACGUGCUUCGGCGCCUCGGGCGCCGUCCUCAUGCCGGAACAUGUCCUUUUGACGUCUGAACUUGAGAAUGAGAAACCAAAACUUUUAACAAUGGAUCUCU